RNAcentral lists this ribosomal RNA (506 nucleotides) under uncultured bacterium. RNAcentral describes it as "partial 16S ribosomal RNA". It matches the Rfam family "Bacterial small subunit ribosomal RNA", at positions 28 to 523 of the family's 1533-position model. The record is from RNAcentral.
GAUGAACGCUAGCUACAGGCUUAACACAUGCAAGUCGAGGGGUAACGAGAGGAAAGCUUGCUUUCCUUGUCGACGACCGGCGCACGGGUGAGUAACGCGUAUCCAACCUGCCCCCAACUAAGGAAUAACCUUGCGAAAGUAAGACUAAUACCUUAUAAUUUCCUCAGAUGUCAUCUGACGAGGAAUAAAGAUUUAUCGGUUGUGGAUGGGGAUGCGUCUGAUUAGCUUGUUGGCGGGGUAACGGCCCACCAAGGCAACGAUCAGUAGGGGUUCUGAGAGGAAGGGCCCCCACAUUGGGACGGAGACAGGGUCCAAACUCCUACGGGAGGCAGCAGUGAGGAAUAUUGGUCAAUGGGCGAAAGCCUGAACCAGCCAAGUAGCGUGCAGGAUGACGGCCCUAUGGGUUGUAAACUGCUUUUAUACAGGAAUAAAGUUAGCCACGUGUGGUUAUUUGUAGGUACUGUAUGAAUAAGGACCGGCUAAUUCCGUGCCAGCCGCCGCGGUAA